GUAUAAACAGCUGUUAGAAAGUGAAUUAUCAAUUUAAAAACUUAAAUAAAUUUAAAGAAAAUUAAAAAUUAUUUGAAUUUUGAAGAAAAAAAACAAUUUGGCAAAACACAAUGUAUCUUAACUUCCUUAUAUGCUCGUUCAUUGAAGAAGAGAGCAAUGACAGCGGCAACGCAACAGAAAGGAUCACCAUGAGAUAGUCGAGAAAGGUUUUGAAGGCAUAUCGCUACCUCAAAACGGAAGUUCGGUGUUUUCAAAGCUGCUUGUCACUAUUUCAUGAGAAAAAUUGGUAUGGGUGGUGGUAGAGGGGUACAUAUACACCGCCGGUGUUACGCUUAGCCACCAGGUUGUAGUUCUUGGCUUCAAGAGAUUAGCAACGGCUGGUCUGCAGGGACCAUAGCGUAAGUGCUACACGAGACACGUCAUCAAUCGGUGUAUCAGAGGCGUCACAAGAAUUGGACAUAAGACUUUGUGCGGUGUGGAUCCAAUGGACCGCAAACGCGGACACAAGGUUGUGGUCUUACCAGAAAUUUCGUGCCCCAGGCGACAAGUUAUUGAACUUUUCGUCUUACAAUAAAUGGCGUUUAUAAUAUUUUCAUUAUUCAUUACAGUGAUUAGAUGCAUCGAUGGAACGCAUAUAUGCUUUUCGAAGCUAGCGGAAAAUGAAGCAAUUUUCAUUAAUCGGAAAGGCUAACCCAGGCACUUUUUUUUCCUUUUGCGACCAUGAAGUGACAUGAGUCGCAUGUGUUGAGGCACUCCGCCGAAACAGCUUACGUGGAAAACCAUUAGAACGGUCAAUGCUUUUGGCUGCUCGGUAAAAUCCACAUCUUUCCAAGUUUUUUUUUUUGGAUGAUAGGGUAUACGUCCUAGAGCUUUGGCUAACAACAUCUUAACAUAGUUUGGCGGAUCCCCUAAAAAAAGCUACAACGAACUUCAUUGCAAGGCGAGGAACACCGUGAGAAGAUGCUUUGAUGUGUAUAAAGUAAAAGGCCGCUGGCGUAUUCUACACGAAGAGCGAAAGAGCUGCUACAGCCCAAAGAAGCUGGGAAGAAUUGCAAACGUUUG
Molecule: long non-coding RNA, 1062 nt
Organism: Glossina fuscipes
Lineage: Eukaryota; Metazoa; Arthropoda; Insecta; Diptera; Glossinidae
Exons: 5
Source: RefSeq, a predicted model, not a curated record